AACGCAGUUCCCUUUCUCCCUUUCCCUUUUAACCCUUUUCUUCAUCGACAAAAUAAUAGCAACAACAAUUUGCGUAUAACAGUUACAGAAUCGACGUACAACACCAAUGCACACUGAAACAACAUCUCAUCAACAACGUUCAGAUUCCAUACAAUUCUAGCUCAAACCUUAUCCCAAUUUUAAAAUUCAAAUUUUAACUCGUUUCCCUUUGAUUCCCCCCCUCUCCCCCACCCCCAAAAAAAAAACCAAAAUUCUCUAUAAAUAUCCACCUAUGUAGAGAGAAAAGAGGGAGGAUUCUUUGGGGGUAAAUGGAGAUUCGAGAAGACGAUUCCUCUAAUCCCACGUAACCAAAGAAUUCAAGAAGAAACAAUAUCCAAAAAAAAUUAAUUCAGACGAAAUUUGAAAUUCCGGCGAGUUAAAAUUGAAACUCUGGUGGAAACAACUUAAAUUUUGGUGGAAUUUCAAUCGCUUAAAGAUCGUUUUUCCAAGUUCUUGCCCCAAAAUAGACUCCCAUCUCUAGCAUUCCGUUGAGUUAACGCCAAUCUCCAUCGGUUGAGCCUCAUUAAAAUCAAAAAAGUGGAUUGAUAUGCGCAGGACAGUCAAGUUUACCAAGCUGCUAUAUGCGUAUAUACAGUGGGAAUAGCUGUAGCUGUACACUAACAUAUGCGUACAUGGAAAAUGAAAGCAAACACGCUUAUUUAUACAUUGAUGUACAACAUAUAUACAAUGGUGUAUCAAAACACGCAGGAAAUAAAGUUGUGAUAUACAGAUGAUAUAUCAUAUAUUAAAUGGACCUAAAGUCCAUAAAAAAUGCAGUCCAAGGUUGGACAAGAUCAAAAUUGGGUCAAAGCCCAAUCCAAACUCUUCUUUAAUUAUUUAUUUCGUUUGUAAUCUAUUUGUGAUAUCUACGAUUCUAACUUUAACUAAUUUAAAUUAAUCUAGAUAAAUUCCCUUAA
Long non-coding RNA from Capsicum annuum, 956 nucleotides. RefSeq lists it as uncharacterized. The transcript is spliced from 2 exons. The record is from RefSeq and is a predicted model, not a curated record. Lineage: Eukaryota; Viridiplantae; Streptophyta; Magnoliopsida; Solanales; Solanaceae.